Molecule: long non-coding RNA, 2531 nt
Organism: Paramacrobiotus metropolitanus
Lineage: Eukaryota; Metazoa; Tardigrada; Eutardigrada; Parachela; Macrobiotidae
Exons: 3
Source: RefSeq, a predicted model, not a curated record
UGAAGACGUUGCAAAUGCAGAAGAGUUUUCCAAUCUUGGCACUAUUUUUGACAUGUGCAAGUUCGUUUAGUUCUUAUGUGCCUUUCUCGGGAUUCGAGGGAGUCCAACCACAGUCGCUUACCUCCGAGGUUUACCUACUUGCGCUCAGUUUUCGCAUCUCGCUUAACCCUAUUUGCAACGAUACUUGUUCCGAUGUGGGUGCGUGCAAGAUCCUGGAUUUUUAGCGCCUGAAAAAAAAUUACCAUGACCGAGACACAUAUCGGUGCUCGUAAUUUUUUUCAGGCGCGGAAAAAAUUCGAGAAAUUCGGAAAAAAUUCAAGAAAAUUCGGGGGAAUUUUCUUGUUUACUAAGACAUUUGGGCGUUGUGGAUGUGGAAGGACGACUCAUCUCAUGCACGGGACACCAUUCCAAGGAUUACCUAGCCACGAUAAAUAACGUAGUUGACGAUUUGUAAUUGACGUUUUUCAAUUUAGCGUAUGACAAUACGCAGAUCGUGAAGAACCUGUUCGCAGCGGUUAGGAACGCUACUUUCGUUUUCUACGAAAACAUGACUGAGCAACGGUGUCCGCUGUUGUAUUAACAACACAGGGCUGCCGUGUUCAACGAGAAACAGAAAGGAAAUCAGUCCUCCGAAUGGCUUUCGGGAUCUGGCAUAAUACGGGUCCCGUAAUCACUAUUCAGUCUUAAAACAAAAUAAAGGGGAAUGUUGGCGGAGGAAUGCCCGUUAAAAUGCAACAAGUGCCAAUUCGCAUUUCAGUGGGACGGAAACAGCCCUGUUUGUGCACUGCAUCUUUGAACACGAUAAUAUAAUUAUUUGGUGAUACGAGCCGUUCCGUCUCUAACAGAACCGAAUCGAUCAAGAGUCCAUCCAUUUUUGCAGCAGAAAUACGGUCGUCGGCGGUUGGAAGUGGCAGCAUAAACACCGACGUCGAGACCGCAUACAUACGGCCGACGGUAUUUUUUUGCUGGCUCUUCGUCCGUAGACAGAACCGGGAGGAUCGGAACCAGUGAAGCACUAUUCUACUUCUUCGACGAUCAGGCGUGGAGAGUGCGGCUGAAAAGCCCUCAGGAGUUUCGGUUGCAUGUGUGUUAGACAGAGCGUUAUGGUUAAUACGAAGGGCAGUUGUAUGUUCAUAACUUCAUGGCAGGAACAUCCAACUGCCUUUCUUAAUAACCGCAACGUAACUUCAAGGUUCCCUGUAAAUCCCUCAGCCAGCGUAUGAUGUGCCAGUUGAACUGCUCCGCGCGUCCCAGUCAUGGGCCGGUGAUUCGAUGGUGACGCUCUUCGUAGCGGAUGUCGUGAUCCUGCUUAAGGGAAGUGGUCCGGUACACGGUACCAUUCGUGUACAUUCACGAAAACUAUCACUUUCGCGCACUCCCAGGCACUUUUUUAUUUCGGUUUAUGACAUUCUGUAGCCAAAAGAUUUGUAUACACUGGCUUGAAAACGUUUGUGCGCGCAACAUCCGGUUCGGGAGUUAUGGUUGUUAGAAAAUUCCAAAAAGUUUAAAUGUGUUCAGGUGUACCAAAAGUCUCAUUAUGGACCGAUCUCCCUCAAAUUUUGCAGGUAAAUGUACAUAACCACGAAGAACGUUUAAAAAUCAUCCAUGGUAGAACAAUCCAUUGUUCUAGCAUGUUUUUCAAAUUUUAAAAUGAAUUUCAAAAAUUUUAAAAUUCAUUUUAAAACUGAAAAAAAGUCAGCGAAGUCUGGAUCGGUGUAAAAACGAUCUUCAUGGUUAUGUGCAUUUUCGUGCAAAAUUUGAGGGAGAUCGGUCCACAAUGAGACUUUUGGUACCAGUACACCUGAAUGCAUUUAAACUUUUUUGAAUUUUCUAACAGCCAUAAUUCCCGAACCGGAUGUUGCGCGCACAAACGGUUUACGCGCCAGUGUAUACAAAUCUUCUGUCAACAUAAUGUCAUAAACCGAAACAAAAAGGUGUUUGGGAGGGCGCGAAAGUAAAAGUUUUCGUGCAUGUACACGAAUGGUACCAUGUACCGGGCCACUUCCUUUAACGCCAUGGCGUAUAUUAUGGUCAGUGCACGAUUUUCUGGUUAAAUCUUCUGCGUUGUAUCUGAUGCACAGCCGAGGUUUGCGUAGUUGCUCUGAGGAAACCGUUGGGAACAGUCGGAAGCCGUUCGGUUGUAUAAGAUUAAGAUCCACAACCGGGCAGUGUACAGUCACUGUACAGACCUCCGCCAUACCUGGUUGAAAUGAUCGACUUCGAGGACCUCUCAUCGCAGUACAAUCUCCGGAAGCCGAAACGAAUCCAAGCCAGGGUGAAACAGAAAAUCGGAGAAAGAACUUUUUUGAGCGUAUUCAAAAUUAAAUGUACAUAUGCUCAGCGUUGGCGGUUCUUGAUUUCUGAAGUUUGCUCUGAAAACUGUUGAUCUGUUUCUGUUGAACUGUUCUGUUGAUCUGAUCUUAAUGAUUUUUUCAAAUCUGUUUUAAUAAUCUCCUUUAUAAUAUUUCGCUGCAUUUUUUACCGACCAGACAUUGAAGUCCUUAAACGGGUCUUCUUCUCCUGAUACAUGA